GCCGGGGUAUCGAACUCAGCAAUUCUACCGUCGCUUAGUACCAAAACCAGAUCACUGUCAACUACAGUCGGAAUUCGAUGUGCAAUUGUGCAUACAGUGCAGUCUCUGAACUCUGUUCUAAUAACCUUCUGGAUGAGAUUAUCUGUUGCCAUAUCAACCGAUGCUGUGGCUUCAUCAAGAACAAGUAUUCUGGCUUGUCUUAAAAGUGCACGGCCCAAUGCUACGAGUUGCCUCUGCCCUACACUCCAGUUAUCUCCAUUUUCAAGCACUGGUGUAUCGAGUUUUUGCUCCUUUUCGCGGAUCAUCU
This 307-nucleotide unclassified non-coding RNA is filed under the name Hevea brasiliensis (rubber tree). Lineage: Eukaryota; Viridiplantae; Streptophyta; Magnoliopsida; Malpighiales; Euphorbiaceae. The record is from RNAcentral.